ACCAACAGGGAUUGCCCUAGUAACGGCGAGUGAAGCGGCAACAGCUCAAAUUUGAAAUCUGGCUCUUUUAGAGUCCGAGUUGUAAUUUGCAGAGGGCGCUUUGGCUUUGGCAGCGGUCCAAGUUCCUUGGAACAGGACGUCACAGAGGGUGAGAAUCCCGUACGUGGUCGCUAGCUAUUGCCGUGUAAAGCCCCUUCGACGAGUCGAGUUGUUUGGGAAUGCAGCUCUAAAUGGGAGGUAAAUUUCUUCUAAAGCUAAAUAUUGGCCAGAGACCGAUAGCGCACAAGUAGAGUGAUCGAAAGAUGAAAAGCACUUUGGAAAGAGAGUCAAACAGCACGUGAAAUUGUUGAAAGGGAAGCGCUUGCAGCCAGACUUGCUUGCAGUUGCUCAUCCGGGCUUUUGCCCGGUGCACUCUUCUGCAGGCAGGCCAGCAUCAGUUUGGGCGGUGGGAUAAAGGUCUCUGACACGUUCCUUCCUUCGGGUUGGCCAUAUAGGGGAGACGUCAUACCACCAGCCUGGACUGAGGUCCGCGCAUCUGCUAGGAUGCUGGCGUAAUGGCUGUAAGCGGCCCGUCUUGAAACACGGACCAAGGAGUCUAACAUCCAUGCGAGUGUUUGGGUGUCAAGCCCGAGCGCGUAAUGAAAGUGAACGGAGGUGGGAACCCGCAAGGGUGCACCAUCGACCGAUCCUGAAGUUUACGGAAGGAUUUGAGUAAGAGCAUGGCUGUUGGGACCCGAAAGAUGGUGAACUAUGCUUGAAUAGGGUGAAGCCAGAGGAAACUCUGGUGGAGGCUCGCAGCGGUUCUGACGUGCAAAUCGAUCGUCAAAUUUGGGCAUAGGGGCGAAAGACUAAUCG
RNAcentral lists this ribosomal RNA (855 nucleotides) under Curvularia neergaardii. RNAcentral describes it as "eukaryotic LSU rRNA". It matches the Rfam family "Eukaryotic large subunit ribosomal RNA", at positions 64 to 937 of the family's 3401-position model. The record is from RNAcentral. Lineage: Eukaryota; Fungi; Ascomycota; Dothideomycetes; Pleosporales; Pleosporaceae.